AUUGAACGCUGGCGGCGUGCCUAACACAUGCAAGUCGAGCGGUAACAGGUGUAGCAAUACAUGCUGACGAGCGGCGGACGGGUGAGUAACGCUUGGGAAUCUGCCUAUUAGUGGGGGACAACCCGGGGAAACUCGGGCUAAUACCGCAUACGCUCUACGGAGGAAAGCCGGGGACCGCAAGGCCUGGCGCUAAUAGAUGAGCCCAAGUCGGAUUAGCUAGUUGGUAGGGAACGGCCUACCAAGGCUACGAUCCGUAACUGGUCUGAGAGGACGACCAGUCACACCGGAACUGAGACACGGUCCGGACUCCUACGGGAGGCAGCAGUGGGGAAUAUUGGACAAUGGGGGAACCCUGAUCCAGCGACGCCGCGUGGGUGAAGAAGGCCUGCGGGUUGUAAAGCCCUUUCAGUGGGGAAGAAAAGCCUCGACCUAACACGUCGGGGUCUUGACGUAACCCAUAGAAGAAGCACCGGCUAACUCUGU
RNAcentral lists this ribosomal RNA (483 nucleotides) under uncultured bacterium. RNAcentral describes it as "bacterial SSU rRNA". It matches the Rfam family "Bacterial small subunit ribosomal RNA", at positions 29 to 506 of the family's 1533-position model. The record is from RNAcentral.